CAGCCGCCGCGGUAAUACGAAGGGGGCUAGCGUUGUUCGGAUUUACCGGGCGUAAAGGGCGCGUAGGCGGACUGAUAAGUCAGGGGUGAAAUCCCAAGGCUCAACCUUGGAACUGCCUUUGAUACUGUUUGUCUUGAGUUCGAGAGAGGUAAGUGGAACUGCGAGUGUAGAGGUGAAAUUCGUAGAUAUUCGCAAGAACACCAGUGGCGAAGGCGGCUUACUGGCUCGAAACUGACGCUGAGGCGCGAAAGCGUGGGGAGCAAACAGGAUUAGAUACCCCCGUAGUCCCUGUCUCUUAUAC
Molecule: ribosomal RNA, 301 nt
Filed under: uncultured bacterium
Lineage: Bacteria
Description: partial 16S ribosomal RNA
Rfam family: Bacterial small subunit ribosomal RNA
Source: RNAcentral